UCCGGGUCGGGGCAGGAGGAAGAGCGGCUGGUCUUCAUCACCGGCUGGAGCUCCUCUUUCUCCCACCAGCUGAAAACAGAAACAGGCCUUUCUGGGAUGUAGGUGAUCCGUAUGUGCUGACAGCGCUCCCUGUCCUUUGAACUGAGGAAAUCUGGGAGGUCGUUCACCUGCACAGAGGCAGAGAGACGGAAACGGGAGCCAAGCGUUUAUUUAUUCAGGGAGUUUCACUAACAGAGAUCGUCCAGUUGGUUAUUUCAGAUGGCCGCUUGUACUGAGUCCGGUUCUGGUUCUGCUGGAGGUUCUGUUAAAGGGGAGUUUUUCCUCUCCACUGUCGGAGAGAAUGCAAGUCAACGGUUCAAUGCAAUCUGCUGAGUUUAGAUAAACGUUUAAACUACUUUUCUGAUGACCAGGAUCAAUUGGAAUGUAUGGAUGAUUGAAUUGAAAUGAUUUUUUUUAAAGUGCUUCCAGACAUUUUUUGUGAAUCGGCGCUAAAUAAGUAAAACUGAAUUGAUUUAGACUUAAGCUUUAGAUGCACAAACAUGUUUCUGUUCAACUUCAUCCAAACAUUUUGUGCCAGGUCCAAUUUAACUUGAGAGAAAAACACAAACCAUGAUGCUGCCACCACCGUGCACACAGCAUGCCUUUUACAGGUUUUUGGCAGAAAUUUGCUCCUUUUUUUCUACCCUGUAUGGCCCUCAGACACCUUUGUAUUUGUUCCUGUUGUGAACAAUAUGAACUUGACUUAAAAGUUUUAAACUCACCAGCUCGAUGUCGCGCACGCGCUCGAGGCUCACGGCGGCGGUCAGCGCGCGUGGCGGGAACUCCGUCAGAAAAGAAGAAACCGGUCCAUUUCCCCGGCGGGCGGGAGAACAAGACAAACACCGACUUCAGCUGGCCGUGACCUUCCUGCCCUCAGAGAGUCACGUGAUCAACAACCGGAUGUUACUGCUGGCGGA
Xiphophorus maculatus (southern platyfish) is the source of this 956-nucleotide long non-coding RNA. RefSeq lists it as uncharacterized. NCBI's taxonomy places the organism in Eukaryota, Metazoa, Chordata, Actinopteri, Cyprinodontiformes, Poeciliidae. The transcript is spliced from 8 exons. The record is from RefSeq and is a predicted model, not a curated record.